Molecule: long non-coding RNA, 335 nt
Filed under: Fukomys damarensis (Damara mole-rat)
Lineage: Eukaryota; Metazoa; Chordata; Mammalia; Rodentia; Bathyergidae
Description: lncRNA (ENSFDAG00000029162.1)
Source: RNAcentral
AGGUGUUACCUUUCUUUUCCCCCAAAAGGUGAUUGUGAUGUGCUGCUAGGGCAUGAACUACUGCAGUGAGCAAGCUGAUGCCAAGCAGAGACAAGAAGAGAUGAGAUCUUAAGAAGAGGCUUUGAUUCAAACCCUCCUCUUCUGUGCACUCCCCCACUUUUGGACCACCGCUCCUCCCGUCUGAAGAGCCCUGGGUUUGGUGUGACUGGGUGGCAGGUGGUGUGUGAUGUUUUCGAGUGGCAGUGGUCUCUGGCACCUGGGGACAGCCAUGCCCACACUGACCAGGUAUGUAGAGUGCUCAGCCUUACCUGACAGCAUAUUUGUAACUGAAUACA